Molecule: small RNA, 75 nt
Filed under: Xanthomonas campestris
Lineage: Bacteria; Pseudomonadati; Pseudomonadota; Gammaproteobacteria; Lysobacterales; Lysobacteraceae
Description: sX9 sRNA
Rfam family: Xanthomonas sRNA sX9
Source: RNAcentral
AUGUACCCACGUACACUCCGGUUCCUCCGCGCCGUCCGCACCUCCCUGACGGCUGCUCGCUACGUUUUGUUAGCC